RNAcentral lists this ribosomal RNA (253 nucleotides) under uncultured bacterium. Its description in RNAcentral is "partial 16S ribosomal RNA". It matches the Rfam family "Bacterial small subunit ribosomal RNA", at positions 524 to 776 of the family's 1533-position model. The record is from RNAcentral.
UACGGAGGAUCCGAGCGUUAUCCGGAUUUAUUGGGUUUAAAGGGUGCGUAGGCGGCUUAUUAAGUCAGUGGUGAAAGACGGCAGCUCAACUGUCGCAGUGCCUUUGAUACUGAUGAGCUUGAAUGUUGUUGAAGAUGGCGGAAUGAGACAAGUAGCGGUGAAAUGCAUAGAUAUGUCUCAGAACUCCGAUUGCGAAGGCAGCUAUCUAAGCAAUGAUUGACGCUGAUGCACGAAAGCGUGGGGAGCAAACAGG